AGUGAACGCUGGCGGUAGGCCUAACACAUGCAAGUCGAACGGCAGCACAGUAAGAGCUUGCUCUUACGGGUGGCGAGUGGCGGACGGGUGAGGAAUACAUCGGAAUCUACUUUUUCGUGGGGGAUAACGUAGGGAAACUUACGCUAAUACCGCAUACGACCUACGGGUGAAAGCAGGGGAUCUUCGGACCUUGCGCGAUUGAAUGAGCCGAUGUCGGAUUAGCUAGUUGGCGGGGUAAAGGCCCACCAAGGCGACGAUCCGUAGCUGGUCUGAGAGGAUGAUCAGCCACACUGGAACUGAGACACGGUCCAGACUCCUACGGGAGGCAGCAGUGGGGAAUAUUGGACAAUGGGCGCAAGCCUGAUCCAGCCAUACCGCGUGGGUUAAGAAGGCCUUCGGGUUGUAAAGCCCUUUUGUUGGGAAAGAAAAGCAGCAGGUUAAUACGCCGCUGUUCUGACGGUACCCAAAGAAUAAGCACCGGCUAACUUCGUG
RNAcentral lists this ribosomal RNA (492 nucleotides) under uncultured bacterium. RNAcentral describes it as "partial 16S ribosomal RNA". It matches the Rfam family "Bacterial small subunit ribosomal RNA", at positions 29 to 507 of the family's 1533-position model. The record is from RNAcentral.